AGCGAACGUUAGCGGCGGGCCUAACACAUGCAAGUCGAACGCGAAAGGUCUUCGGACUGAGUAGAGUGGCGCACGGGUGAGUAACACGUAGGUAAUCUACCCUUUGGCGGGGGAUAACGUUCCGAAAGGAGCGCUAAUACCGCAUAAGACCACGGAGUCUCCGGACGCUGUGGGAAAAGGUGGCCUCUUCUUGAAAGCUACCACCGAAGGAUGAGCCUGCGUCCCAUCAGCUAGUUGGUAAGGUAAUGGCUUACCAAGGCGAAGACGGGUAGCUGGUUUGAGAGAAUGAUCAGCCACACUGGCACUGGAACACGGGCCAGACUCCUACGGGAGGCAGCAGUGAGGAAUAUUGGGCAAUGGGCGAAAGCCUGACCCAGCCACGCCGCGUGAGUGAUGAAGGCCCUCGGGUCGUAAAGCUCUGUGGAGAGGGACGAAACCCUGGUUUCAAAUAGGCUCCAGGCUUGACGGUACCUCUUUAGCAAGCACCGGCUAACUCUGUGCCAG
This 504-nucleotide ribosomal RNA is filed under the name uncultured bacterium. RNAcentral describes it as "bacterial SSU rRNA". It matches the Rfam family "Bacterial small subunit ribosomal RNA", at positions 29 to 511 of the family's 1533-position model. The record is from RNAcentral.